GCCGACGUAGCUCAGUGGUAGAGCACUUCACUCAUAAAGAAGCGGUCGCAGGUUCAAUCCCUGCCGUCGGCACCA
This 75-nucleotide transfer RNA is filed under the name bacterium. Its description in RNAcentral is "tRNA-Met". It matches the Rfam family "tRNA". From Rfam's summary of the family: Transfer RNA (tRNA) molecules are approximately 80 nucleotides in length. Their secondary structure includes four short double-helical elements and three loops (D, anti-codon, and T loops). The record is from RNAcentral. RNAcentral also lists the same sequence under 1 other name.